UGGGGUAAAGCUCAGUGGUAGAGCAUUCGACUGCAGUUGGAAAGUUCCCCAGUUCAAACCUGGGCGCUCUUU
This 72-nucleotide transfer RNA is filed under the name Daphnia magna. It matches the Rfam family "tRNA". From Rfam's summary of the family: Transfer RNA (tRNA) molecules are approximately 80 nucleotides in length. Their secondary structure includes four short double-helical elements and three loops (D, anti-codon, and T loops). Lineage: Eukaryota; Metazoa; Arthropoda; Branchiopoda; Diplostraca; Daphniidae. The record is from Rfam by way of RNAcentral.